RNAcentral lists this unclassified non-coding RNA (346 nucleotides) under soil metagenome. Its description in RNAcentral is "partial contains 5.8S ribosomal RNA, internal transcribed spacer 2, and large subunit ribosomal RNA". The stretch from base 1 to 120 matches the Rfam family "5.8S ribosomal RNA", at positions 35 to 154 of the family's 154-position model. The record is from RNAcentral.
GAUGAAGAACGCAGCGAAAUGCGAUACGUAAUGUGAAUUGCAGAAUUCAGUGAAUCAUCGAGUCUUUGAACGCACAUUGCGCCCCCUGGUAUUACGGGGGGCAUGCCUGUCCGAGCGUCAUUGCUGCCCUCAAGCACGGCUUGUGUGUUGGGCCUCCGUCCUCCUCCCGGGGGACGGGCCCGAAAGGCAGCGGCGGCACCGAGUCCGGUCCUCGAGCGUAUGGGGCUUUGUCACCCGCUCUGUAGGCCCGGCCGGCGCCAGCCGACAACCAAUCAUCCUUUUUUCAGGUUGACCUCGGAUCAGGUAGGGAUACCCGCUGAACUUAAGCAUAUCAAUAAGCGGAGGA